This 253-nucleotide ribosomal RNA is filed under the name uncultured bacterium. Its description in RNAcentral is "partial 16S ribosomal RNA". It matches the Rfam family "Bacterial small subunit ribosomal RNA", at positions 524 to 776 of the family's 1533-position model. The record is from RNAcentral.
UAUGUAGGGGGCAAGCGUUGUCCGGAAUCAUUGGGCGUAAAGAGCGUGUAGGCGGCUCGGUAAGUCCGCUGUGAAAGUCCAGGGCUCAACCCUGGAAUGCCGGUGGAAACUGUCGAGCUAGAGUCCGGAAGAGGCGAGUGGAAUUCCUGGUGUAGCGGUGAAAUGCGCAGAUAUCAGGAGGAACACCAAUGGCGAAGGCAGCUCGCUGGGACGGUACUGACGCUGAGACGCGAAAGCGUGGGGAGCAAACAGG